This 2884-nucleotide long non-coding RNA is filed under the name Homo sapiens (human). Its description in RNAcentral is "non-protein coding lnc-DKK3-10:3". Lineage: Eukaryota; Metazoa; Chordata; Mammalia; Primates; Hominidae. The record is from RNAcentral.
GCGAGAUGAAACCCCCGGUGUUGGUAAGCGGGUAUCAAGGGAGCGGCGAGGGCCUGGGCCUCACGCUUCUUGGUCUAGGCGGCUGGAAAGCAAGACACGGCAUCCCCUUUUGGACAUGGGGGAGCAGCAUGGCACUUCUAGUACCGACUGUGUACGUCCUGUGGACCUCCCUCUUUGCUCGGCUCCUUGACCACCCUGAGCUUCCGCAAACCUCCUUGCUAGCUAAUAGGAUCUUCCCCUCACCUGGCCUUGCUUGGCUAAAGCUAGUGGGAAGGGGGCGGUGGUGCAGACUACCUGUGUUACCUUGGUCAGAUCACCUAAACACCCUCUACCUUUGGCUGUCAUAUCCCUAUCUUAAUCUCUGCUCUGCCCACCUUCCCGGGUUACCCUUACCCCCCACAGCUCCAGAGAGCAACAUUCACAGACAACACAGUGUGAAUGGAGUGGGGCCUAGUGAGCAAUCAGAAGCACUCUGUAGACUAUAACUACUGUAAAACACCUUGUGUUUAAACGGCUCUUGUAGCAGUUAUCAUGAAAUGGGGAUCUCCAUGGGCAGGAACCAUGUCUGACUCACCUCUGGAACCCAGGGCCCAUCACAGGGCUUGGCCCGGUGUAAGCAUCAAUAAGUGUUCUUGGAACUGAGCUACCUAGGCAGAGGAAAACAGGCAGGCUUGAGCAGUGAGAAACAGUAUUGUGGCUCCAGGCUGCUGGAAUUUCCCCAGCACAAGACCACCUCCAGGAGACACCAUGUUCCCUUGCCAGACAAGUGCAAACAGAACAGUUUGCCUCCCCAAACCUGCAGAUUAUUAUUAUUUUUUCUCUACUCUACUUCUUGCCAUGUGAUCCUACUCUCAGCCCUUUGGUGUUUACCAGGUAUUGUCCUACCUGGCAGCUCUCUUAGCUCUCUCUUCAGAAUUCAAUCAACUUCCUGUAGAUGAACUUUCCAGCAAAAGCUGUUCCUACCCAGUUUGCAAGGCCCAGUCAGCUUGUACUCUCAGAGGGCCAGCACUCCACUCUGAUGGAAAUCUGCCUGUGAUGCCAGCCUGGGGAGUGCCCUUCACACGUGAUCUCAUCUAAGCCUGGCUUGACAGGUAUGUAUUGUAUCAUCAUCCCAUUUCACAGAUGUGGAAACUGAGACCAGUGAGGUAAAGCAACUGGUCAACAUCACAUGGUUAGUAAGUAUCAGAGUCCGGAUUUGAGCCAGAUCUGGUUCCAGAAUCUACAUGCCUAAACACUAUGUGCUGGGGCCUCUACAGCACUGCCCAUGCCUCUAGGGUACUUGACAGGUCAAGUCUAACCCUGAAAGAGCUGCUCUAGGCCUGACCCACUCCCAGUCCAUCCAAACAGUCUGUCAAGCUCAGGCCAGGGCACUGUAAGGGAGAGGAGACUCCACUGGCCUGGCCCUACCUUAUUUAGAAGAGUGAUACAGGAAACCCAAGGCAGUGAGGAGCUUCAGGAAGCAGUGUUACAUCUGUCCCCACCUUAACUACACUGGACAUAAAGCCUCUUGCUAUUGGCCUGGACCUGAGACACCCAUGUGGUGGAUAGAGAUGGAGACAGAGUCAUUCAUUCAUUUAACAAACCCUACUCCGAACCAAAUGUGGUUCCUGCACUCAUGUAACUUAUAAUGCAACAGAUGAAUAAUCAGAAGUACACAAUGCUGUCCAGACAUGGUGGCUCAGGCCUGUAAUCCCAGCACUUGGGAGGCUGAGGUGGGCAGAUCACCUGAGGUCAGGAGUUCAAGACCAGCCUGGCCAAUAUGGUGAAACCCCGUUUCUACUAAAAAACACAAAAAAUCAUCUGGGCAUCAUGGCACAUGCCUAUAAUCCCAGCUACUCAGGGGGCUGAGGCAGGAGAAUUGCUCGUACAGCGAGACUCCAUCUCAAAAAAAAAAAAAAAAGGAAGAAGAGGAAGAAGAAGAAGAAGACCACAGUGCUUUGGGAGCUGUAUUCUUUAUUACUCUUUUUUUUUUUUUUACAGUUUUAUCACCUUACCAAUAGCACAACAUUCUCCCUUCAGAUUAAAACAAGCUUAAUGCUAUUUCAGGAGCACUGUGGGCCAACCAAGUUUAACAAAGAUAGCAUUGCUCAGCACAGAAGUUCAAGCAACUUAAAAAUUAGAACUUACCAAUGCAUUCCCAGAACCUCUGCCUCCUCUCCCCUACCCUACUCCCAAUCUUUUUAACUCAGGGGGCUCAGAUAAGAAAGACUCUUGCUAGGUGGGUGCAUCUGAGGGCUGAGAGGUGAGCUUUUCCUUGGACGCAGGGCAACCUGGGAACUGAGAAGGGUUAACUGCAUGGAGGGAGAUAAACCUGGGGACUUCUUGAGCCAGUGGCCAGAGCCACUCACCACCUCACACAAGCCACCCUUGCUGACCAUCUUCCUGGAGAGAGAAGAGGAAUGGGUUAAGGAUGUCACAACUCACCUUCCUCUGGACUAAGCAGUCACCAUGGGAUGUCCUGCUGGGCUGUGACUAUGUCUAGGAGUUAUACAGCUCAGCUCUUCAAAUGAAAGAUCUAAAGUUAGGGCAAACUUUAGAGGAAUAUUUAUCGAAUCCCUUACCUAGCAGAUGAAAGAAAAGAAGAGGCCAGGCAUGGUGGCUCAUGCCUGUAAUCCCAGCACUUUGGAAAGCUGAGGUGGGUGGAUCACUUGAGGUCAGGAGUUCAAGACCAGCAUGGCCAACAUGGUGAAACUCCGUCUCUACCAAAAAUACAAAAAUUAGCUGGGUGUGGUGGCACACGCCUGUAAUCCCAGUUACUUGGGAGGCUGAGGCCAGAGAAUUCUUGAACCCAGGAGGUGGAGGUUACAGUGAACCGAGAUCACACCACUGCACUCCAACCUGGGCGACAGAGCAAGACUCUGUCUCAAAAAUAGAAAAAAGAAAG